CAAAUUUCUGCCUAUCAACUUUCGAUUGUAGGAUAGUGGCCUACAAUGGUGUCAACGGGUGACGGGGAAUUAGGGUUCGAUACCGGAGAGGGAGCCUGAGAAACGGCUACCACAUCCAAGGAAGGCAGCAGGCGCGCAAAUUACCCAAUCCCGAUUCGGGGAGGUAGUGACAAUAAAUACUGAUGCAAGGGCUCUUUUGGGUCUUGCAAUUGGCAUGAGUACAAUUUAAAUCCCUUAACGAGGAACAAUUGGAGGGCAAGUCUGGUGCCAGCAGCCGAGGUAAUUCCAGCUCCAAUAGCGUAUAUUACCAGUUGUUGCAGUUAAAACAGCUCGUAGUUGAACCUUUGGGCCUGGCUGGCCGGUCCGGCUCACCGGUGGCACUUGGUCCGGCCGGGUACUUUCCCUUCUAGGGGGAUCACGAUUGGCCCUUUCACUGGGGUAGUAGUCAGGGGGAAACCAGGGACUUUUUU
RNAcentral lists this ribosomal RNA (470 nucleotides) under uncultured fungus. Its description in RNAcentral is "bacterial SSU rRNA". It matches the Rfam family "Eukaryotic small subunit ribosomal RNA", at positions 301 to 756 of the family's 1831-position model. The record is from RNAcentral. Lineage: Eukaryota; Fungi.